UGGGGGAUAUUGCACAAUGGGCGAAAGCCUGAUGCAGCGACGCCGCGUGGGGGAUGAAGGCUUUCGGGUUGUAAACCUCUUUCGCUAUCGAACAAGGCCCGCUUAGGGUGGGUUGAGGGUAGGUGGAGAAGAAGCACCGGCUAACUCCGUGCCAGCAGCCGCGGUAAUACGGAGGGUGCAAGCGUUAAUCGGAAUUACUGGGCGUAAAGCGCACGCAGGCGGUCUGUCAAGUCGGAUGUGAAAUCCCCGGGCUCAACCUGGGAACUGCAUUCGAAACUGGCAGGCUAGAGUCUUGUAGAGGGGGGUAGAAUUCCAGGUGUAGCGAUGAAAUGCGUAGAGAUCUGGAGGAAUACCGGUGGCGAAGGCGGCCCCCUGGACAAAGACUGACGCUCAGGUGCGAAAGCGUGGGGAGCAAACAGG
This 420-nucleotide ribosomal RNA is filed under the name Chloroflexota bacterium. RNAcentral's name for it is "Chloroflexi bacterium partial 16S ribosomal RNA". It matches the Rfam family "Bacterial small subunit ribosomal RNA", at positions 355 to 776 of the family's 1533-position model. The record is from RNAcentral. Lineage: Bacteria; Bacillati; Chloroflexota.